RNAcentral lists this transfer RNA (51 nucleotides) under Argiope amoena. RNAcentral describes it as "tRNA-Pro". The record is from RNAcentral. Lineage: Eukaryota; Metazoa; Arthropoda; Arachnida; Araneae; Araneidae.
AUUCUUUAGUUUAUAAAAAUACCUACUUUGGAUGUAGGAGAUACUUUUAUG